Molecule: ribosomal RNA, 496 nt
Filed under: uncultured bacterium
Lineage: Bacteria
Description: partial 16S ribosomal RNA
Rfam family: Bacterial small subunit ribosomal RNA
Source: RNAcentral
AUGAACGCUGGCGGCGUGCCUAAUACAUGCAAGUCGAGCGAACGGACGAGAAGCUUGCUUCUCUGAUGUUAGCGGCGGACGGGUGAGUAACACGUGGAUAACCUACCUAUAAGACUGGGAUAACUUCGGGAAACCGGAGCUAAUACCGGAUGAUAUUUUGAACCGCAUGGUUCAAAAGUGAAAGACGGUCUUGCUGUCACUUAUAGAUGGAUCCGCGCUGCAUUAGCUAGUUGGUAAGGUAACGGCUUACCAAGGCAACGAUGCAUAGCCGACCUGAGAGGGUGAUCGGCCACACUGGAACUGAGACACGGUCCAGACUCCUACGGGAGGCAGCAGUAGGGAAUCUUCCGCAAUGGGCGAAAGCCUGACGGAGCAACGCCGCGUGAGUGAUGAAGGUCUUCGGAUCGUAAAACUCUGUUAUUAGGGAAGAACAUAUGUGUAAGUAACUGCGCACAUCUUGACGGUACCUAAUCAGAAAGCCACGGCUAACUACGUG